RNAcentral lists this unclassified non-coding RNA (295 nucleotides) under uncultured fungus. RNAcentral's name for it is "sequence contains ITS2". Lineage: Eukaryota; Fungi. The record is from RNAcentral.
UUUCACCUCACACAACCAAUGGUUUUUAAAAGCUGUAAUGGCGCCAAGUGGUUAAUGUGGUAUUGAGUGUAUUCCCACUUGGUAAACGAGAGGGUCACUUGAAAUACUUGGUAGCUUUAUGAGUCCGAUAAUGCUUCGCAUAUUUCGAAAAGCUCAAAGUACCGCUAAGUUUAAGCCUUUACUGGUCACUCUUUAGCUGGGAAAUUUUUGAAAUGGAGUUGUUGUCACUGACUUUAUACCAAACUUGAUAUUGAAUAGCAGUCGUAGUUGCUGUAACUAUUCAAAAUCUUUGAAC